This 463-nucleotide long non-coding RNA is filed under the name Triticum aestivum (bread wheat). RNAcentral's name for it is "long non-coding RNA (TAES_LNC022744)". The record is from RNAcentral. Lineage: Eukaryota; Viridiplantae; Streptophyta; Magnoliopsida; Poales; Poaceae.
UAUGCAGUGUAAAAUCAGAAAUCACAAAUAAACAGCUACAGUAAAUUAAGCAAUAAAUAUAUUAUUAAAAACUGGUAUAUUUACAUACCCAAAAUAACUGCCUGGUUGAGCGCAUGGGUUAAGGAUCGUGUCCCUGACAAAGUUUCAUAUGAGCAUGCCCUACAAUUGAGCUUGUCCCCACGAACUCCUUCAUCAAUUCAGCUACAGAACUGUAUAAGGAGGCCACCGCGGAGCUGGACUAGGUUGUUUUCCAACUUGUCGCUUGCCUUUAGCCCUUGCUGGACUAGGUUGUUUUCAAACUUGUCGCUUGCCCUAAACCUCCUACGUCUAUGUCAUUAUUCGCCUUUCGCAUUAAUGUAUAUGUACUUCUAUUUUUUCCCGUAGCAACGCACGGGCACACAGACACUGCCUAAUAGUAGUCUACAAUUAACCAUAUUUUCAUUGCUGUCUGUCAACACCCUCC